GAAACUUAAGUUACUUUUAAACCUAAGGCCUUCAAAGCCCUUAACAGGGGACCCUUCCUUCCUAGUUUUUG
RNAcentral lists this transfer RNA (71 nucleotides) under Rhynchoedura ornata (Western beaked gecko). Its description in RNAcentral is "tRNA-Trp". Lineage: Eukaryota; Metazoa; Chordata; Lepidosauria; Squamata; Diplodactylidae. The record is from RNAcentral.